GGGCAGUAAGAGCUGCAGCGUGGGGACAGGACCCGUGGGCAGUAAGAGCUGCAGGCAUGGGGACAGGACCCGUGGGCAGGAAGAGCUGCAGCGUGGGGACAGGACCCGUGGGCAGUAAGAGCUGCAGGCAUGGGGACAGGACCCGUGGGCAGUAAGAGCUGCAAUGGGUUGAGGGUAGGGCUAAAUUUAUAAGGCAUAGGUCUAUGAGUUACUUCUUUGCAAGACAAAGGAACGAUCAAGUACAAAAGUCGCUAAAAUGAUAUCAGUGCAGGUGGGGUGUGGUUAUCGAGUGGUCCUGUAACUUUGGAUAGGAAUCAGGUCGCAUCAGGUCAGGACGUCCUGUGCUUCCCGGAGGAUGAUACAGAUCGGUAUGCAGGGCAGGACGCCUUGGCCUUCUCUCCCUGGGGCAGCCUUGAUCUUCAUCAUUAUCACUUGUAUGACCCUGGGCAAAAUAUUUAAGUUCUCUGAAACCUGUUUCCUCCUCCAAGAGGUGGAGAUAAUAUGUACCCCACACAGUUUCAGUGAAGAAUUGGCAUCCAGAACACUGAGCUGCCCUCGCCUCCCAGACCGCGAGCCUGAGUCGGCCGCUGCCCUGCACCGUGGUCCCCCAGCUCCCGAAACUGUGCUGGGAAACCCCGUUUCGCCAAGAAUGGCUAAAGCAGUGCUGCCACUGAUGAGAUCUGUUCCACGGAGACCCUCGGCCCCAGCCCUGAGGCCUGCUGGCCUGGGAGCACCCUCUCCCCAUCCUACCUCGGAAUCUUUUCGGGCAUCUCCCUUGCCUGCGGAGGAGGUAUGGGGCUUUGGAAUCGGGGACUCAGGCCCCACACUGGACUCUACCGGUGACCUCGGGACAGCCUCAGUGUCCUUGUCCCUGAAGUGGGACGCCAGUGGCCUCCUGCCAGGGUGGCUGUGAAGAGCCCAUCAGGGACUGCAGAGAGCGUCCGUCUGCACCUCCUCCAUUGAACUCUGGACUGGGCCACUGCCCUCCUUGUCUCCUUUCCAAAUCACUUCUGUCAUGGUCCCAGCAGGAAACAGAUGGCACGCGCAAACGAUUUUCUGGAAGGACUUUGGCAAAGGGACUGUUGACAGGCGUGAGAGCGGGGUUAAGAGAGUCGACAAGGGAGGCGGCACCCCAGAAACAGAGACCGACUGUCCAAGGGCCCCGGGGUGGUCAGCAGGCGCCCAAGCCGGACCCCGCUUCACAUAGGAAGUCACAGCCAUUGACGGGCAUUUUCCACCUGCCAUACAAUGUCUUUAGAGAAUGCACAGGCUGCUUCGGGACCGCCAUUCGCAGCUCUUGUGCGCACUGAGGGACCUGAAUGUCAGCUCAGACUUGGUGCGCCGAAGGCUUUUCCAGGGGGAGCGAGUGCCCACCCGGCAUCGCACCCUGGUGUCUCCCCACGGGCUGUGAGGAAUACACGUGACCGUGUGCAUGGAAGUGCCCGGCAGCGUGUUCGGAAGGAGCAGGGGCUGUGCCCGCAUACAGGAAGUGCUUAAUCAAUGUGGAGAGCAAACAAGCAGGUUCUUUGCUGAGGGGAGAGGGAGACAUGAAGGUGAGAAGGAAAAAGAUGGCUCCCGGUGGGAUGAACCAAGGAUGCUGUAUGUUUGGUUGCUGUGACCCAUGGCCACAGACGUGGUGACUUAUUACAGCCCACAGUCAUUCUCGCCCAACUCCGGAGGGCAGACGUCAGCCGUCGGUUUCACGGACCCAAAUCGAGGGCUGGCCAAGGCUGUGCUCUCUCUUGGAGCCACUCGGGGAAUCACGUCCCUGGCCAUCUCCGGCUUCUGCAGCUGCAGUCGUUGGCUCCUGGCCCCGUCCUCCAGCUUCAACAUCAGCGGGUGGCCCCCCUCCCUCCAGGCCCUGGGCUGCGGGCAAAGGAGGGGGCCCUCAGGGCCGCACUGCCCGGCCACCAGCCCUGGGGAACCUGCCGGCUGUUUUCUAACAAUUAGUGGGAGAAAGACCUCAUCCAAGCACACCCAGGGCGGCCGUUUCUCCUGGCAGUACUUUCCGGUUUGGCUCCAAAAGAAAAUAAAAACGUGAUGUUUAGUAAUCCCUUCAAAAUCGCUUGUCUAUUUUGAAGCUUCAUUAAUUAACACCAAAUACCAUUAUUUAUUAAAUUCUUGUGAUUCAUUCUAUUUUUGAAAAUUCAGCGUUGGACGCGGGAGCCCUUAUGUCUAAGUGGCCUGGCGUGAGGCUGACGGACAGUGAGCAGAUGAGGAAGCACGUUCUAGAGAGACGUGUGGGUUCACUGUGUCGCGGUCGCUCAGACUCGGGCCCGUGGUCAGUAAUGGGUGAGCAGCCCCAGCCCCAGCAUGUGACUUGCCCACACCCUCCGGGGGGCACAGACGCCCUGGAGAGGGGACACCCUGCAGACGAUGUUGACCCUGGGCCCACCCCACACGUCCCGUGUGUUGCAGGGCCCCAUGCCCCAGCCCUGGCUGCCAAGCCCCUGAAGGCCCUCG
Molecule: long non-coding RNA, 2463 nt
Filed under: Equus caballus (horse)
Lineage: Eukaryota; Metazoa; Chordata; Mammalia; Perissodactyla; Equidae
Description: lncRNA (ENSECAG00000033636.3)
Source: RNAcentral